RNAcentral lists this ribosomal RNA (271 nucleotides) under uncultured archaeon. RNAcentral describes it as "partial 16S ribosomal RNA". It matches the Rfam family "Archaeal small subunit ribosomal RNA", at positions 477 to 747 of the family's 1478-position model. The record is from RNAcentral.
CAGCGCCACAAGUGGUAAUCGCUAUUAUUGGGCCUAAAGCGUCCGUAGCAGGUCUUGUAAAUCUUAUGUGAAAUUGUUGCGCUCAACGCAACAGCGUGCACGAGAAACUGUAAGACUUGGGACCGGGAGGAGUCAGAGGUAUUUCUUGGGGAGCGGUAAAAUGCUAUAAUCCAAGAAGGACCACCUAUGGCGAAGGCAUCUGACUAGAACGGAUCCGACUGUGAGGGACGAAAGCCAGGGGAGCGAACCGGAUUAGAGACCCGAGUAGUCC